AGUGAACGCUGGCGGUAGGCCUAACACAUGCAAGUCGAACGGCAGCACAGGAGAGCUUGCUCUCUGGGUGGCGAGUGGCGGACGGGUGAGGAAUACAUCGGAAUCUGCCCAGUCGUGGGGGAUAACGUAGGGAAACUUACGCUAAUACCGCAUACGACCUUCGGGUGAAAGAGGGGGAUCGCAAGACCUCUCGCGAUUGGAUGAGCCGAUGUCGGAUUAGCUAGUUGGCGGGGUAAUGGCCCACCAAGGCGACGAUCCGUAGCUGGUCUGAGAGGAUGAUAGGCAACACGGGAGGGGAAACAGGGCCAAGACGCCUAGGGGAGGCAGCAGAGGGGAAUAGGAGAAAGGGGGGGGAAGCCUGACACAACGAUCCGGGGUGGGAAAAAAAGGCUUGGGGGUUGGAAGGCCUUUUUGUGGGAAAAAAAAUCUUUCAGCAUAAUACCAGGGGGGAAUGACGGUACCAAAAAAAGAAGCACCGGCUAACUCCGUG
This 490-nucleotide ribosomal RNA is filed under the name uncultured bacterium. RNAcentral's name for it is "partial 16S ribosomal RNA". It matches the Rfam family "Bacterial small subunit ribosomal RNA", at positions 30 to 507 of the family's 1533-position model. The record is from RNAcentral.